CUGGAAUAGAAAGCGUUGGACACACAUGGAUUCCGUGCACCCAGUUGGUCACCAAGGAUGGGUGCACACAAGAAAUGAAAUGCCUUCAAGUCCAGGCUCCUGUUGGAAGAAGAUGGGAACUCAUGCAGCCCCUGGCAUGGAGGAGGCUGUUCCUGCCCUGGCACCAGGAGCUUGCUGCCAUUGCAGCUCUGCUUUUGGAAGGGUGCUUAGCAGACUUGCUCCUGCUGCACGGAUGCACCGUUUGCUGUCUCUGCAUCUGCCCUGUGACUCUGCAUAGAAAUCUUUCCUUCGGGUACUUUCUCUGAUUCCAGAAAACUAAGUGAAGGCACAGGAGUGUUUUCUUGCAAGGAGCAAAAAGGCUGUGUACUCAAAUCAAACUUUCUCAAGCACAUCUGACAUCCCUUUGGAUUCCCACAGGGAACAGUCCCAGUGGGGCUGCUCUGCCACCUGGGCGAGGAGCCAAUGACCUGAGUGAUUCUGCAGCCUCGUAACCCAAAUGUUUUUCCACCAGUGAAGAGAGGAAGCAGGGGGCUGCUUCAAUUAAUGCUGUGCAGUGGGGAUAAGUGAUGCAUUUAAAGGAUUAACUCUUCCUUUUCCUUCGCCUAUCCUCUCUUUAGCAUGACAGCCAACAGAGAGUGUGAUAGAGCAAUCUCUAUCUUGUAUGUGACCACAAGAGAUUAAUUAAACAGUAAGCCCUAAUUACCGAGGCUAAGGCUGACCGACUUACCGUGCCUUGUAAAAUAGCUGAAUACUUAAUUUACGCUCCAGUGUGGACAUAACUUUCACCAUUAGCUGAAUAAACAACGAGCACCCAAGCUAAGCGGACCGCUUCCCUAAUAGAUGCACCAUUAUAAAUGGAGCUCUCCGUUGGUGUGGGCUCACUGGGGCUGCCUCCCAGCUACAAAGGGUUUUCGUGGGAAGGGGGAGCUGCUUUGCAGUGCGCCAACCUGCCCUAAGCCUGGGGGAUUCCCUCUCUGUCAGUACUCUUCAGCUUUCAGGCUGCUUAUCAAAGCCGUCAUCAUUUGCAUUUCACUGCAGGUUUGGGGGGAGAAAAAAAGGGAAGAUACCGAAAGGCAUAAAACAAAACCAAGCCCCAACUCCCAGUGCAAUGCGGUGGAAGUAGGGCACAUAGCUCCUUUUCUCUUUAUUUUUUUUCUCCCUUUCAAUAUCUGCCAUAAUAACAGUAAUAGAUUCUGAGAAGUGCAAGUUAAUCUGUAGCUCCAGAGCUUUUUAUUGUGUUUCUCCCUUUUUGUGCGUGUUAACCUUUCAAAUCUUAGAAGGCUGUGGAGUGUGCAUUGCUAUUUUAAUUCCUAUUAUUCUUGCUUGCUGCCUGCUUCUCAACUGGGUCCUAGAUAGAUCCCAGGUGAGCUUAAAGCUUCAGUGCACUGCAAAGGAGGAGAGAGCAUCUCAAUACCACACAGAGAGAACUGAAACAGGAAAAAAGUUAGAAGGCCUUAAAACCACAUUGAAUCCAGAAGACAAAGAAUGAGCUGAUGAAAGGAUUCGAAGACAUCUCCAGGAGCACCGUUGCAAGAGGAUGGGAUGUGUGAGUGUGAUUUGACAUGUGCGUGUUGUACUGGGAGUUUGAUAGCAGGCAUCUGUGUGGGGCAAGUACACAUUGCUGGUUUCACGUGGGAAGAAGCCUGGGAGCGAGCUGCCUUCAACUUGCAUUGACC
This is a long non-coding RNA of Gallus gallus (chicken), 1676 nucleotides long. The record is from Ensembl. NCBI's taxonomy places the organism in Eukaryota, Metazoa, Chordata, Aves, Galliformes, Phasianidae.